This 1474-nucleotide ribosomal RNA is filed under the name metagenome. RNAcentral describes it as "bacterial SSU rRNA". It matches the Rfam family "Bacterial small subunit ribosomal RNA". The record is from RNAcentral.
GCAAGUCGAACGGUAACAGGAAGAAGCUUGCUUCUUUGCUGACGAGUGGCGGACGGGUGAGUAAUGUCUGGGAAACUGCCUGAUGGAGGGGGAUAACUACUGGAAACGGUAGCUAAUACCGCAUAACGUCGCAAGACCAAAGAGGGGGACCUUCGGGCCUCUUGCCAUCGGAUGUGCCCAGAUGGGAUUAGCUAGUAGGUGGGGUAACGGCUCACCUAGGCGACGAUCCCUAGCUGGUCUGAGAGGAUGACCAGCCACACUGGAACUGAGACACGGUCCAGACUCCUACGGGAGGCAGCAGUGGGGAAUAUUGCACAAUGGGCGCAAGCCUGAUGCAGCCAUGCCGCGUGUAUGAAGAAGGCCUUCGGGUUGUAAAGUACUUUCAGCGGGGAGGAAGGGAGUAAAGUUAAUACCUUUGCUCAUUGACGUUACCCGCAGAAGAAGCACCGGCUAACUCCGUGCCAGCAGCCGCGGUAAUACGGAGGGUGCAAGCGUUAAUCGGAAUUACUGGGCGUAAAGCGCACGCAGGCGGUUUGUUAAGUCAGAUGUGAAAUCCCCGGGCUCAACCUGGGAACUGCAUCUGAUACUGGCAAGCUUGAGUCUCGUAGAGGGGGGUAGAAUUCCAGGUGUAGCGGUGAAAUGCGUAGAGAUCUGGAGGAAUACCGGUGGCGAAGGCGGCCCCCUGGACGAAGACUGACGCUCAGGUGCGAAAGCGUGGGGAGCAAAACAGGAUUAGAUACCCCGGUAGUCCACGCCGUAAACGAUGUCGACUUGGAGGUUGUGCCCUUGAGGCGUGGCUUCCGGAGCUAACGCGUUAAGUCGACCGCCUGGGGAGUACGGCCGCAAGGUUAAAACUCAAAUGAAUUGACGGGGGCCCGCACAAGCGGUGGAGCAUGUGGUUUAAUUCGAUACAACGCGAAGAACCUUACCUGGUCUUGACAUCCACGGAAGUUUUCAGAGAUGAGAAUGUGCCUUCGGGAACCGUGAGACAGGUGCUGCAUGGCUGUCGUCAGCUCGUGUUGUGAAAUGUUGGGUUAAGUCCCGCAACGAGCGCAACCCUUAUCCUUUGUUGCCAGCGGUCCGGCCGGGAACUCAAAGGAGACUGCCAGUGAUAAACUGGAGGAAGGUGGGGAUGACGUCAGGUCAUCAUGGCCCUUACGACCAGGGCUACACACGUGCUACAAUGGCGCAUACAAAGAGAAGCGACCUCGCGAGAGCAAGCGGACCUCAUAAAGUGCGUCGUAGUCCGGAUUGGAGUCUGCAACUCGACUCCAUGAAGUCGGAAUCGCUAGUAAUCGUGGAUCAGAAUGCCACGGUGAAUACGUUCCCGGGCCUUGUACACACCGCCCGUCACACCAUGGGAGUGGGUUGCAAAAGAAGUAAGUAGCUUAACCUUCGGGAGGGCGCUUACCACUUUGUGAUUCAUGACUGGGGUGAAGUCGUAACAAGGUAACCGUAGGGGAACCUGCGGUUG